GAGUGAACGCUGGCGGCGUGCUUAACACAUGCAAGUCGAACGCGAAAGUGUAGCAAUACAUGAGUAGAGUGGCGAACGGGUGAGUAAUAUGUGGGUAAUCUAGCUUUCAGAGGGGGAUAACCCGGGGGAAACCUGGGCUAAUACCGCGUAACAUUUUGUGCACUAAAGGUGUAUAAAAUCAAAACAUGGCCUCUAUUUAUAAGCUAUGGCUGGAAGAUGAGCCCCACAGCCUAUCACGCUUGUUGGUGGGGGUAAAGGCCCACCAAGGCGACAACGGGUAGCCGGCCUGAGAGGGUGUCCGGCCACACUGGAACUGAGACACGGUCCAGACUCCUACGGGAGGCAGCAGUGGGGUAAUUUUUCG
Molecule: ribosomal RNA, 364 nt
Filed under: uncultured bacterium
Lineage: Bacteria
Description: bacterial SSU rRNA
Rfam family: Bacterial small subunit ribosomal RNA
Source: RNAcentral